This is an RNA transcript of Rhineura floridana, 7251 nucleotides long. It is a transcript of the gene named remodeling and spacing factor 1, with no coding region annotated. The transcript has 17 exons. The record is from RefSeq and is a predicted model, not a curated record. Lineage: Eukaryota; Metazoa; Chordata; Lepidosauria; Squamata; Rhineuridae.
ACGACAAGAAGGCUUCCUAGAGGUUCCCAGAACACGCUGCCGAGAGCCGCUCUUCCCCUUCUCGCCCUUCGUGUUCCUGAGGUCGCGUCUCGUGUUCUCCCGCGCUGCAUGGCGGGAUGGCCGAGCGGGGCUGAGCGCCUCCGCCACAGCGCCCCCUUCCGGCCUGUCAGCCUUCCUUCCGCACCUCCCCCCCCUUCUCCUUCUCCAUCCAUCCUCUCAGGUUCCAAGAUGGCGGCUGCGGCUGCGGCUCCCCCAUCCCCUCCUCCUCCUCCUCCCCCGCCUGCCGCCCCGCCGACGGAGGGCCCGUCCUGUCCCGGUUCGUGGCCCAACUUCGCCGUCGUCUGCUCCUUCCUGGAGAGAUACGGAGCCCUCCUCGACCUGCCCGAGCUGCCCUUUCCGGAGCUGGAGCGAGUCCUGCAGCCGCCGCAGGAGCCCGGCGAGCAGGUUCCCAGAGAACUGGUAGAACUUCAUCUGAAACUGAUGAGAAAGAUUGGGAAAUCUGUCACAGCAGACCGAUGGGAAAAAUACUUGAUCAAGAUGUGUCAAGAAUUCAACAGCACCUGGGCAUGGGAAAUGGAGAAGAAAGGGUACUUUGAAAUGAGCAUUGAAUGCAAGUUGGGAAUAUUGAAGUACCUUUGUGAGUGCCAGUUUGAUGACAAUCUAAAAUUUAAGAACAUCAUUAACGAGGAAGAUGCAGAUGCUAUGCGCCUUCAGCCGAUUGGCAGAGACAAAGACGGCCUGACAUACUGGUACCAGCUGGAUCAAGAUCAUAACAUUAGGAUGUAUGUUGAAGAGCAGGAUGAUCAAGAUGGGUCUUCAUGGAAGUGCAUUGUCAGAAGCCGUAACGAACUGGCUGAAACUCUUGAACUUCUCAAAGCACAAAUUGAUCCUGCGCUAUUAAAAAAGCAGCAACAGGAUAGCUCAUCGCGAGAAAGCCCUAGUAUUGAAGGUGAAGAGGCCAAAAAGGGUGAAGAAACGUCAGCCCAAGAAAGUGAUUUGAAGGUGAAAGAAGAAAAAAAGGAGAUAAAAGAGGAGCAGCAGCCAAAGCAGUUGGAAACCCUCCCACUUCCCGCAGUUUCAGAAGAGGAAAACAAGAUCAAAUUAGAAAAAGUGCAGGACAGAGAAAUCAUAAAGCUGCCAGUUAUAGUAAAGUUAGAUAAACUUUCAGAAAACAAUGGGGAAAUGCAGAUUACCAAAGAAGAAAGUGACUCUUUUAAAGAAAACGUUAAACCUGUUAAAGCAGAAGUGAAGCUAGAGCCAAAAGACUUGAAAGAUGUAAAUAGCAACACAGCGAAAACUGUUCAUGAGCAUGAGAGGAUAGAGUUCUGUGUCAGUGUCAAAACUCCCCAGGAAAUUGUGGAGAGAACUGCGGAAGAAAGUGAGAAACUUAAAAAUGACCAGCAGGCAAAAAUCCCACUGAAAAAGCGAGAGAUUAAACUGACCGAUGAUUAUGACAGUCCAUUAAAAGGGACCUUGCGAAAAUGUAUUACCCCAACAAAGGAUGUUUUGAAGGAAGAAGGGAAGCAAGAGGAGGAGACAUUUAAGAGAGUCCCUACAAUUACUGAUGGGAAACUUCUUGUAAAUGGGGAGGUUAGUAGUGAGAAAAUCAUGCCAAAUAACAAGUUGGAACAUUCCUCCAGCACAAAGGAAGAUACUCCCAGCCUGCCUAAGGAGAAAAAUGGCAUAAGUGGGGAGAAAACAGUAGAGACUGUUAGCGCAAUAGUAAGAACAACUGAGGUUGAAAGUAGUUUGCAUACAGGGAAGGAGGUAGCGGUUGUGAUAGCCGAUGUGCCUUUAAAGGAGGAAAACAGUCGUAAAGGAAAGGAAAACUUGCUGGACAGUGUAGAAGCACCUUCAAAAAUGGAUGAUUUUCUUCAGAAGCCUGAAGAAUCCAUGAAAGCAAAAGAUGGCCUGCCACCUCCCAAGGAAUGUUUAGAUAAAUCCUUAAAGGCACCUUCCCCAAAGGAGCUGGUUACUCCAGCAGUUGAAGAGGGUCUGAAAAAUAAAGUUGAGCCAAGAGAGAAACCGGAUUUGCCAAGAGUGGAUGUGACUCCACCGCCUGCUCCAGCCCUUCUCUCUGAGAAAUCUGUUCCUGAAAGAGAGGACUCUGGCGCUAAAAGCACACUCCCCAAUAAAAGCAAAAUACAAGAAGGGCAGGAUUCUAAGCCACAGAAGGGCUCUGACGUUGAAGGGAGCGAAACACUCAAACCAGGAAAUGCCCAAAGUUCUGUCGAGGAAACUUCUGAGACUAAAAAAGAGCCUGUGAAAAGUAAGUGUAAAUACAAGCUGAUUUCUGAAGAAGAAAGUUCUCUAACGGAGAAUAGGGAAAUAACCUCUGAGAGGCAGAAAGAUGGGAUCAAGCUCACAAUCAGAAUCUCAAGCAGAAAGAAAACUGAUCCUCCUCCAAAGACACAGAAUGCAGCAGCUGAAAAGGAGGAAGAGGCAGCCGUCAACGUUGGUCGCAUUUUACGGAGAUCUCCCCGGAUAUCUAAACCUACUCCCAAAAUAGUCGAGACCCGAGAUCAGAAGCCUGAGAAAAAACGAAAUGAGGAAGAGGAAGCGAGAGAGAAACCAGUGCAGAAGCAGGAGAAGAAAGAAGACUCAAAAAAGCAAGAGAAAGAAAUGAAUUCUAAGGCCAGCAAGGCUUCCCAGCGAAGUAAAGUUCGGUGGGCAGGUACUCGAACUCGUGGCAGGUGGAAAUACUCGAGCAAUGAUGAGAGUGAGGAUUCAGAGAGUGAAGAAGACUCGGAAGAGGAAGAGGAGGAAGAAGAACCUGCACCUGCUGAUGACGAUGAGCCAUGCAAGAAGUGUGGCCUCCCCAAUCACCCAGAGCUAAUUCUCCUGUGCGACUCUUGUGACAGCGGCUACCACACAGCGUGUCUUCGACCCCCACUGAUGAUCAUUCCCGAUGGAGAGUGGUUCUGCCCACCUUGCCAACAUAAAUUGCUCUGUGAGAAGUUGGAAGAACAGCUGCAGGACCUGGAUGUUGUCUUGAAAAAGAAAGAGCGUGCUGAACGAAGGAAAGAACGCCUUGUGUAUGUGGGUAUUAGUAUCGAGAACAUCAUUCCUCCACGAGAGCCUGAAAUACCUGAAAGUGUGGACGAAAAGAAGAAAGAUUCCAAAAAAUCAAAAGCAAAGCUGCUUGAAAGGAGGUCAACUAGGCAACGGAAGUGCAUCAGCUACAGGUUUGAUGAGUUUGAUGAAGCCAUUGAUGAAGCCAUAGAGGAUGACAUCAAGGAGGCUGAUGGAGGAGGAGGCGGGAGAGGGAAAGACAUGUCUAACAUCACAGGGCAUCGUGGGAAGGAUAUUUCCACCAUCCUGGAGGAAGAAAGGAAGGAAAGCAAGCGGCCUCUGAGGGCUGUUGCAGUUCGCCGAAAGAAAAGGCGGCGUCUGAAUGACCUGGACAGUGACAGCAACCUGGAUGAAGAGGAGAGUGAGGAUGAGUUCAGAAUCAGCGAAGGAUCACAAGAUGAAUUUGUGGUUUCGGACGAAAACGUAGAUGAAAGUGAAGAGGAUCAGCCAUCAAAUGACGAUAGCGAUACAGAGUUUUCCAGGCGUAGGCCCAGGCGGCACCAUUCGAGGCCAAUGAGGCAAAGCAGACGACUACGGAGAAAAACAGUCAAGAAAAGAUACUCUGAAGAUGACGAAGAUGAGGACUCUGAGGAUAAUGUAAGCGGUGAUUCUGAAAGUGAUGCUUCUUCGGAUUACAGCGACGAAGAUUACCUAGAAACAAGGCGGAGAAGAUCUCGGCGCAAUCAGAAGAGACAGGUCAACUACAAAGAAGAUUCUGAAAGCGAGGGCUCUCAGAAAAGCUUCCGAUAUGGGAAAGAGCUGAGAAGAAUUCAUAAGCGCAGGCUUUCCAGUUCAGACAGUGAAGAGAGCUACGUGGAUAAGGACUCUGAAGAUGAUAAACCCGGCAAGGCGUCGGAGAGAUCUGUUCGGAAACGCAGUCACAGCACGGAUGAGUACUCGGAAGGCGAGGACGGAGACAAGGAAGGGCGGCCCAUUCGAAAGCGUCUGAAUCGGAUCGAAACAGAUGAGGAAGACAAUUGCGGCAAUGCCAACAACGAUGCAAGCAAGCCUGUGCCUGCCAGCAAGCCCUUGGUGCCCCAUGGCCCACAAGACAUCACCAAGAAGCCCUGCUACCGGAUAGAAAGUGAUGAUGAAGAUGACUUUGAUAAUGUUGGGAAGGUAGAAAGCCCAUUGGACUACAGCCUGGUGGAUUUGCCAUCCACCAACGGACAGAGCCCUGGGAAAACUAUUGAGAAUUUGAUCGGCAAGUCUAGCGAGAAGACUUCCGCCCCCAAGGACAGCACAGCCAAUGCCAGCUUGGCGCCUAAUGGGACAAGUGGUGGCCAGGAGGCAGUAGGGCCGGAAGAAGAUGAGGACGAACUUUUGCGAGUGACUGACCUUGUUGAUUACGUCUGUAACAGUGAACAGUUAUAAGACUUCCAUUUUUGUGCUAAUUUAUUCCACGGUAGCUCAUACCAGCGGGCCAGUUAUUAAAAGGUGUUUUAUUUUUCCUAGAAAACUCUCCACUACAGUAUCACUUUUUAGCAGUCAAAAUUUCACCAGUCCUGCAGUUUUGGGAUUGCAUGCAUGUUGGUGAAUCUUUGCCCCAAGAGAACUGGGUACGUAUUCUGGGUGAAACAGCAGAGGGAGAAGCAUUACUGGAUCAAGCAGUGGUGGGGCUCACUGUGGCUCUUUUACUUCCUGUUCUGUUUGGUACACUUGGGCAGACUAACCUCGCUACUAAACUGGUCUGAGGGAGUGAUGCUUAUUCCACUGGAAAAAAAACACCAAUAGGCCUUUGCUGUUGCCUUGUCAUGCAACUGUGAGAGGCAAGUAACUUUUUUCUUAAAACAGUACUGAAGUUUUGACAUGAUAGCAAAGUAAGCCCCCAAAGAAAUGUCCUUCCAUUUUGUUUCCCUUUUUGCUACUAAACAAAUCUUGUUCAAGCAUUUUAUGCUAUGUGAAUUAAAAUACUGUUUAUUUCCCUAACAUAGAUUAAAACUUUUGUUUGGGUACGGGACAGGGGAUGACAGUAAGUUUGCCAGUUUCAUAGCUAUGUUCUAGCUAAGAUGGCUGAUUGUAUAAUGGCAUCCUUUGGGCCUGUUCUACACUGUUCAGUAGGUCUUAUACAAAUAUUUCCUAAGCCAGGGGUGAGAAACAUGUUGUGGGACACCAGCUCCUGUCAGUCCUAGCUGGCAUGAUCACUGGUCACGGAUUAUGGAAAUUGUAAUCCAACAAUGUCUGGAGGGCCACAUAUUUCCCAUCUUUGUGCUAGAUGAACUGUUUUGACAGUUUUAUUUAAAAAAAAACUAGAUCAAGCUUUUUGGAUAAGGGUUGCAAUCUGCACAGUACUGCUUGUGUUCAAUCCGCAUCCAUUUCGGUGGUACUUUCACAAGCAGCAGUACUUGUUGGUUGCACCUAUGGGACAGUUUCUCAUACUUUACCAUGCCUGAUCCUCUUCCCUGUGGGGAAAGUGUGCGCCCCGUUUCCACGGUGCAUGUCGUAUACUGUCUGGUGUAGGUGCUUCACUUGUACAGUGGAGGAGGUUUCAAUUUGCACAGUCCCCUUUUCUUUUGAGGAAGAACUUUACAAACUGGGCUCCUGCAAAUGUUACAUGAUAUGUGUGGUGGCGUAGCUCUCAGGCCUGCCGUUUGUAUCUUGAGCAGCCUGGCAAGAAAUGUUCUAGUGUAGGACUGUUUCCCUGUCUUUUAAAAUUAGAGCCUUCUAAAUCUGACCUUCACCAUUGAUUCAGAUUCCCGCACUUCUGCCCCCCCCAACAUACAAUUCUUAUGUCUUUGAUUCUGCCAAGACUGCUCUCUGAUGUCAGCAGUGCACUGACACUGAGCAAUGGCAGCAACAGCCUUUGGGAACAGAAAAGCAAGUUCAGCACAUCCUUGUGCAUGGGAGCAACCAUGAUGGGUGCAUAGCUGGAGGUUUCCUUUUUCAAUUUUUCAUCUCUUUUUUCAUUCUCUAUAAAAGUAAUAUUUGUAAGGGUUUUUUUAAAAAGAUGGUCAGGUUCAUAAAGCCCUUGUACAACAUGUUUCCUCAACCUUGCUUUUUAAAAAGAUGAAAUCAUGGAUUGGUUCCAUUUUGAAGGGAAUGAAUACUGUGGAUUUUCUGUGUGAUCUGUACAUUUUAAGCUGCUUCAUACAUAAUGCUGUUUUGCACAGGGAUAAUCUCCAUGUAUAACAAGUUCACAUAGUCACUCCAGAAGUUGAUGUUUCUUUCUUUGGUCAGAAUAGACAGACUGGGAAACCGAUGUGCAGUUUCUAGUCAGUGCAUUCAUGACAGAAUCUGCAUUGCACUUCAGAAGUGAUGGUGUACACAUUUUUUCCUAUGUGGAGAUUAUUUCCAUGCUUUUUUAAAAAUGUUGCAUAUGAAGUGGCCAUUGAGAGGGAGAAGAAAAUACCUUGGGGAAAGAACUGGAAAUGUCUUCAUUGUUGUACAUAAAUUCUGGGUUGCUUUCUCACUUUUCUCUUAUCAUUUCCUUCCCUACACCAGUAAAUUCACUUGCAUGGAAAACUUUUAACUUGAAAUGGAGAGUCCUAGUGCCCUCAGCGCUCAAAGUGGUUAACUGCAGUUGACUAACAGCUGGUGUUUUUAGCUUUGCAGUACAUGACUGUUUAAAUACUGUAUUCCUUGUAAAUGAAGUUUAAAAAAAAUGUUACGGCUGGUGCCAAUAUUUUUGUUAAUGAAAUGUUCAAUGUCGUCUCACUACGGUCUGGUCAGAGCUCUUUGUGUAUAAGCUGGGCCUGCAGCCUUUUUAUAGCUUGGAGGCCUAAUUGUGUAACUUUUUUUCUUUCAUAAUGUUUUUGUUUAUAAUAUCUACUGUCAUUUCUUUCAUAUAAAUAUGACAUGUAAAUUGUCAUAAUAAAAACCCAUUUAAAUAAGUUUACGUACAGAGAACGUGUCGGAGAAGCCACAUCUUACUAUGGAAGAAGGCGAGCUCCACAAUGAUAUUGUUAAUCAAAUUUGCAGAUGAUCCUAAUGUGGGAGGGACUGUAUAUAUUAAAAAGGGAUAGAUUAAUAAGUAGCUAUUUUUUUAAAAAAAACGAGCUUGACAGACGCAACAGAAGGACAUUCAACAGGCAAAUGUAAACAAUUGUAUGUGUAUGUAAGAACUAAAAUGUGCAAGCUAUGUAAGGUUUGAAGCAGGCAUUUGGGACUUCCAAGGGAUUUUAGUUACAUAAAGCAGUAGUUGCUAAUUGGCGGUUUGUAAAGUAGGUCCAGCUUGUGCAA